Long non-coding RNA from Andrographis paniculata, 186 nucleotides. RefSeq lists it as uncharacterized. The transcript is spliced from 2 exons. NCBI's taxonomy places the organism in Eukaryota, Viridiplantae, Streptophyta, Magnoliopsida, Lamiales, Acanthaceae. The record is from RefSeq and is a predicted model, not a curated record.
UAUAGAAAUUAGCUUUUGAAUAAGCAGGUAGCUCCUGAGAAUAAGCAUAAAGCUCAUCUGAUUUGAGUAAAUAAUGGGACAGGUGUACGUUGGAGGAGAUUUGGGUGAAGUUAUAAAAAUCCAGAAAGUAUCGGUAGGAGGUACGCAUGGCACCUCCGGGACAGGGGACGUCUCGGGAGAUAGAAA